Molecule: ribosomal RNA, 411 nt
Filed under: uncultured Actinomycetes bacterium
Lineage: Bacteria; Bacillati; Actinomycetota; Actinomycetes
Description: bacterial SSU rRNA
Rfam family: Bacterial small subunit ribosomal RNA
Source: RNAcentral
GAGUUUGAUCGUGGCUCAGAUUGAACGCUGGCGGCAGGCCUAACACAUGCAAGUCGAGCGGAAAGGCCCUUCGGGGUACUCGAGCGGCGAACGGGUGAGUAACACGUGAGUAAUCUGCCCCGCGCUUUGGGAUAGCCAGCCGAAAGGCUGAUUAAUACCGAAUACGACACUCUCCGGCAUCGGGUGGGUGUGGAAAGUUUUUUCGGCGUGGGAUGUGCUCGCGGCCUAUCAGCUUGUUGGUGGGGUAAUGGCCUACCAAGGCUUCGACGGGUAGCCGGCCUGAGAGGGUGACCGGCCACACUGGGACUGAGACACGGCCCAGACUCCUACGGGAGGCAGCAGUGGGGAAUAUUGGACAAUGGGCGGAAGCCUGAUCCAGCAACGCCGCGUGAGGGAUGACGGCCUCGGUUG